CCCGGCGUAGCUCAGACUGGUAGAGCGGCGGACUGUAGAUCCGCGUGUCCCCGGUUCAAAUCCGGGCGCCGGGA
RNAcentral lists this transfer RNA (74 nucleotides) under Thermoplasmata archaeon. Its description in RNAcentral is "tRNA-Tyr". It matches the Rfam family "tRNA". From Rfam's summary of the family: Transfer RNA (tRNA) molecules are approximately 80 nucleotides in length. The record is from RNAcentral. Lineage: Archaea; Methanobacteriati; Thermoplasmatota; Thermoplasmata.